This 2921-nucleotide ribosomal RNA is filed under the name Staphylococcus aureus VET0126R. RNAcentral's name for it is "bacterial LSU rRNA". It matches the Rfam family "Bacterial large subunit ribosomal RNA". RNAcentral also lists the same sequence under 1 other name. The record is from RNAcentral. Lineage: Bacteria; Bacillati; Bacillota; Bacilli; Caryophanales; Staphylococcaceae.
UUAAGUUAUUAAGGGCGCACGGUGGAUGCCUUGGCACUAGAAGCCGAUGAAGGACGUUACUAACGACGAUAUGCUUUGGGGAGCUGUAAGUAAGCUUUGAUCCAGAGAUUUCCGAAUGGGGAAACCCAGCAUGAGUUAUGUCAUGUUAUCGAUAUGUGAAUACAUAGCAUAUCAGAAGGCACACCCGGAGAACUGAAACAUCUUAGUACCCGGAGGAAGAGAAAGAAAAUUCGAUUCCCUUAGUAGCGGCGAGCGAAACGGGAAGAGCCCAAACCAACAAGCUUGCUUGUUGGGGUUGUAGGACACUCUAUACGGAGUUACAAAGGACGACAUUAGACGAAUCAUCUGGAAAGAUGAAUCAAAGAAGGUAAUAAUCCUGUAGUCGAAAAUGUUGUCUCUCUUGAGUGGAUCCUGAGUACGACGGAGCACGUGAAAUUCCGUCGGAAUCUGGGAGGACCAUCUCCUAAGGCUAAAUACUCUCUAGUGACCGAUAGUGAACCAGUACCGUGAGGGAAAGGUGAAAAGCACCCCGGAAGGGGAGUGAAAUAGAACCUGAAACCGUGUGCUUACAAGUAGUCAGAGCCCGUUAAUGGGUGAUGGCGUGCCUUUUGUAGAAUGAACCGGCGAGUUACGAUUUGAUGCAAGGUUAAGCAGUAAAUGUGGAGCCGUAGCGAAAGCGAGUCUGAAUAGGGCGUUUAGUAUUUGGUCGUAGACCCGAAACCAGGUGAUCUACCCUUGGUCAGGUUGAAGUUCAGGUAACACUGAAUGGAGGACCGAACCGACUUACGUUGAAAAGUGAGCGGAUGAACUGAGGGUAGCGGAGAAAUUCCAAUCGAACCUGGAGAUAGCUGGUUCUCUCCGAAAUAGCUUUAGGGCUAGCCUCAAGUGAUGAUUAUUGGAGGUAGAGCACUGUUUGGACGAGGGGCCCCUCUCGGGUUACCGAAUUCAGACAAACUCCGAAUGCCAAUUAAUUUAACUUGGGAGUCAGAACAUGGGUGAUAAGGUCCGUGUUCGAAAGGGAAACAGCCCAGACCACCAGCUAAGGUCCCAAAAUAUAUGUUAAGUGGAAAAGGAUGUGGCGUUGCCCAGACAACUAGGAUGUUGGCUUAGAAGCAGCCAUCAUUUAAAGAGUGCGUAAUAGCUCACUAGUCGAGUGACACUGCGCCGAAAAUGUACCGGGGCUAAACAUAUUACCGAAGCUGUGGAUUGUCCUUUGGACAAUGGUAGGAGAGCGUUCUAAGGGCGUUGAAGCAUGAUCGUAAGGACAUGUGGAGCGCUUAGAAGUGAGAAUGCCGGUGUGAGUAGCGAAAGACGGGUGAGAAUCCCGUCCACCGAUUGACUAAGGUUUCCAGAGGAAGGCUCGUCCGCUCUGGGUUAGUCGGGUCCUAAGCUGAGGCCGACAGGCGUAGGCGAUGGAUAACAGGUUGAUAUUCCUGUACCACCUAUAAUCGUUUUAAUCGAUGGGGGGACGCAGUAGGAUAGGCGAAGCGUGCGAUUGGAUUGCACGUCUAAGCAGUAAGGCUGAGUAUUAGGCAAAUCCGGUACUCGUUAAGGCUGAGCUGUGAUGGGGAGAAGACAUUGUGUCUUCGAGUCGUUGAUUUCACACUGCCGAGAAAAGCCUCUAGAUAGAAAAUAGGUGCCCGUACCGCAAACCGACACAGGUAGUCAAGAUGAGAAUUCUAAGGUGAGCGAGCGAACUCUCGUUAAGGAACUCGGCAAAAUGACCCCGUAACUUCGGGAGAAGGGGUGCUCUUUAGGGUUAACGCCCAGAAGAGCCGCAGUGAAUAGGCCCAAGCGACUGUUUAUCAAAAACACAGGUCUCUGCUAAACCGUAAGGUGAUGUAUAGGGGCUGACGCCUGCCCGGUGCUGGAAGGUUAAGAGGAGUGGUUAGCUUCUGCGAAGCUACGAAUCGAAGCCCCAGUAAACGGCGGCCGUAACUAUAACGGUCCUAAGGUAGCGAAAUUCCUUGUCGGGUAAGUUCCGACCCGCACGAAAGGCGUAACGAUUUGGGCACUGUCUCAACGAGAGACUCGGUGAAAUCAUAGUACCUGUGAAGAUGCAGGUUACCCGCGACAGGACGGAAAGACCCCGUGGAGCUUUACUGUAGCCUGAUAUUGAAAUUCGGCACAGCUUGUACAGGAUAGGUAGGAGCCUUUGAAACGUGAGCGCUAGCUUACGUGGAGGCGCUGGUGGGAUACUACCCUAGCUGUGUUGGCUUUCUAACCCGCACCACUUAUCGUGGUGGGAGACAGUGUCAGGCGGGCAGUUUGACUGGGGCGGUCGCCUCCUAAAAGGUAACGGAGGCGCUCAAAGGUUCCCUCAGAAUGGUUGGAAAUCAUUCAUAGAGUGUAAAGGCAUAAGGGAGCUUGACUGCGAGACCUACAAGUCGAGCAGGGUCGAAAGACGGACUUAGUGAUCCGGUGGUUCCGUAUGGAAGGGCCAUCGCUCAACGGAUAAAAGCUACCCCGGGGAUAACAGGCUUAUCUCCCCCAAGAGUUCACAUCGACGGGGAGGUUUGGCACCUCGAUGUCGGCUCAUCGCAUCCUGGGGCUGUAGUCGGUCCCAAGGGUUGGGCUGUUCGCCCAUUAAAGCGGUACGCGAGCUGGGUUCAGAACGUCGUGAGACAGUUCGGUCCCUAUCCGUCGUGGGCGUAGGAAAUUUGAGAGGAGCUGUCCUUAGUACGAGAGGACCGGGAUGGACAUACCUCUGGUGUACCAGUUGUCGUGCCAACGGCAUAGCUGGGUAGCUAUGUGUGGACGGGAUAAGUGCUGAAAGCAUCUAAGCAUGAAGCCCCCCUCAAGAUGAGAUUUCCCAACUUCGGUUAUAAGAUCCCUCAAAGAUGAUGAGGUUAAUAGGUUCGAGGUGGAAGCAUGGUGACAUGUGGAGCUGACGAAUACUAAUCGAUCGAAGACUUAAUCAA